UCUAUUCUGACUCUUAUACGCUAAUUUUCAAAUUGAGAUAUACAAUGUUAGAAACUUGAAAAACGAGUAAGUAUGUAAGGCAUAAGAUAAUGUUACCUGGGUAAUGGGGGUGUAUAUGAAAUUUUGUAUGGAUAGAAAGACGAGUGGUAAUUAUGCAGGUUAAGUUUGUUACAGGAGAGUACGAAGUCAGUCAAAAAUAUGAAUAAGUGUGGGUAAGUGAAUUUUUA
Molecule: long non-coding RNA, 227 nt
Filed under: Gossypium barbadense (sea-island cotton)
Lineage: Eukaryota; Viridiplantae; Streptophyta; Magnoliopsida; Malvales; Malvaceae
Description: long non-coding RNA (GBAR_LNC001519)
Source: RNAcentral